Molecule: long non-coding RNA, 612 nt
Organism: Photinus pyralis (common eastern firefly)
Lineage: Eukaryota; Metazoa; Arthropoda; Insecta; Coleoptera; Lampyridae
Exons: 3
Source: RefSeq, a predicted model, not a curated record
AGGCGAAGCUAGAAACCAAAGCUCUCAAAGCCAAACGGCCUGGCUUUACGGAUGAUCGUUACAACGAAACGUCUUACUACAUUGAGAACGCUCUGCGUAAAGUUUACCCGUAUUAUUUUACCUUCACAACCUUCACGAAGGGAAGAUGGGUGGGGGAACGAAUAUUGGACGUAUUCGCAAGAGAAUUCCGAGCACAUCCCGCAGAGGAGUACGAGAGAUGUAUACGAGCGGGAACCUUAACCGUAAACUACGAAAAGGUCCCUACCGACUACAAGCUGAAGCACAACGAUUUGCUCGCUAAUGUCGUCCACAGACAUGAAGUGCCAGUUACUUGCCACCCGAUCACCAUUGUACAUCUGGACGAGGACGUUGUGGUGGUCAACAAACCUGCCUCUAUCCCCGUAAGUGGCUCUGAGACUGCCAUUAUUUUCCACUCGCACUAUUUAUAGGUGAUAGAUAGUGUGCUUGCGCAGACGCUUUGCUUGUGGUGUUCUAUGCUAUUACUAACUUUUCUUUUAUUUGCAGCGGUGUAGGUGUCUUAAAACGUAACAAUGAAAGAUUUUAUACUUACUGUACAAGAUGCAUUCAGGUAAUUAGUCUGAAAGCUUUGCA